RNAcentral lists this ribosomal RNA (265 nucleotides) under uncultured bacterium. RNAcentral's name for it is "partial 16S ribosomal RNA". It matches the Rfam family "Bacterial small subunit ribosomal RNA", at positions 793 to 1055 of the family's 1533-position model. The record is from RNAcentral.
GUCCACGCUGUAAACGAUGGGUACUAGGUUUGGUGGGUCUUGACCCCCGCCGAACCGGCGCUAACGCAAUAAGUACCCGCCUGGGAAGUACGGUCGCAAGACUAAAACUCAAAGGAAUUGACGGGGGCCCGCACAAGCGGUGGAUCAUGUGGUUUAAUUCGAAGCAACGCGAAGAACCUUACCUGGAUUUGACAUCCUCUGACAACCCUAGAGAUAGGGCUUCUGUAGCAAUACAGCAGAGUGACAGGUGCUGCAUGGCUGUCGU